GACAGAGGGUGCUAGCGUUGUUCGGAAUUACUGGGCGUAAAGGGCGCGUAGGCGGUCUGUUAAGUUCGGUGUGAAAUCCCCUGGCUCAACUGGGGAACUGCGCUGGAAACUGACAGACUCGAGUACCGGAGAGGAGAGUGGAAUUCCUGGUGUAGCGGUGAAAUGCGUAGAUAUCAGGAGGAACACCGGUGGCGAAGGCGGCUCUCUGGACGGUACUGACGCUGAGACGCGAAAGCGUGGGGAGCGAACAGG
This 252-nucleotide ribosomal RNA is filed under the name uncultured bacterium. RNAcentral describes it as "partial 16S ribosomal RNA". It matches the Rfam family "Bacterial small subunit ribosomal RNA", at positions 524 to 776 of the family's 1533-position model. The record is from RNAcentral.